This 1296-nucleotide long non-coding RNA is filed under the name Scleropages formosus (Asian bonytongue). Its description in RNAcentral is "lncRNA (ENSSFOG00015028494.1)". Lineage: Eukaryota; Metazoa; Chordata; Actinopteri; Osteoglossiformes; Osteoglossidae. The record is from RNAcentral.
AUUUAAUUCUGCUGUGUUAGAAGGAUGCUGGGUGUCACAGUGUUUACAUAACAUUUAUUAAUUUAGCUGACACUCUUCUCCAAAACAACUUACAAUGUUAAGCUACCUACAUUUACGAAUUUAUACAGCCAGGUCAUUUUACUAGAGCAAUUUAUGGUAAGUAAUUCAACCCAAAAAUAACACAUGGUGUCAUGGAAUAUAUUAACCCUCUUGUGUAAGGGAUGGAUGUGCUUUUUUGAAGAAAGAUGGAAUGAGUUAACCGCAUGAAUGCUAUCUCCAGACAGACAAAACGGUCAGAUUUCAUGUGCAAGUUGCUUAAUCCCACUGCUGACACAAGCGGAAAUCGUAGGCAUUCCUCCUACAGCAGCACUGAGAGCAGCUCAAGAAGAGCACCAAGGAGGUCUUUGUGGAGAUCAGGACGCCAUUUAGUGGCACUGCAAGUGGAUGGACUGCUACAUGGGCCUCAGCUUCUACUUCACCUUUGUGGGCCUCCUGCUGAAAGGUGGGGCGAGCAGAACUUGUGCACCACAUACAUCUGUACCUCUACACACUGUGUGUCUUGCAUGUCUAGCCUUUCACCUCUGUCCCCUUUCAGGUUACAGAGGUACAGUCCCCAGCACAGCAGUGAGGACAAUCUGCAUUCUGCAGAUGCUGCUGGGUCUGCCGGGAAAUCACACAGCGUCGCCUACAGAGCAGGUGGAUGGGAAGUCUGCCGCGUGAUGCUACUCUGUGCCAGCUGCCCUUUCGACCCCGGGAUUCAUCACAUUUCUGAGGACAUGCCAUUUGUAUAACAAGCACAAAAACAGUGACUGCCUCCAGUGUUUGGUGUUCGAGCUCCGCUGUGGUGAUGAUGUCACCAGCUUGUUUCUGCUGCAUAUCUGUGUCUCACAGGAGGUUCACAGCUGUGGAGAACAUUCCCAUGGAGCUGUGCAAGCACAUGUGGUGGGGGAUCUUUCCUGGCUCCUUUAACCCAUGCGUCUGUCACAUUUCUAAAACUUUUUCACACACCAUCUUCACACACAAGUCCAUGAGCCUAGACCUAGGGCAGCCUUCAGAGGCCAACACCAGGAAGGUUCUAGGUACGAUCUCUGCCCAGUCGGGUGUCUGGCAACAUUUAACCUAGAACACUCAUGCCACAGGUGCACUUAGCUGCCCGGUUGUUGGGGGGGGCUGUUCCCCCAGCUGGCAGAUAGCUAUGUGACUUUGUGGCCUAAAAAGGACGCCAUGUGGAGCCUUAGGCAGGCAUGCAUUUCCAAACCAUCAGAAUAAAAACUUGAAGUGGCAAAAAAAGCCCCA